UACGGAGGGGGCUAGCGUUGUUCGGAAUUACUGGGCGUAAAGCGCACGUAGGCGGCUUGUUAAGUCAGGGGUGAAAUCCCGGAGCUCAACUCCGGAACUGCCUUUGAUACUGGCAAUCUAGAGACUGGAAGAGGUUAGUGGAAUUCCCAGUGUAGAGGUGAAAUUCGUAGAUAUUGGGAAGAACACCAGUGGCGAAGGCGGCUAACUGGUCCAGUACUGACGCUGAGGUGCGAAAGCGUGGGGAGCAAACAGG
Molecule: ribosomal RNA, 253 nt
Filed under: uncultured bacterium
Lineage: Bacteria
Description: partial 16S ribosomal RNA
Rfam family: Bacterial small subunit ribosomal RNA
Source: RNAcentral